Kogia breviceps (pygmy sperm whale) is the source of this 302-nucleotide non-coding RNA. Lineage: Eukaryota; Metazoa; Chordata; Mammalia; Artiodactyla; Physeteridae. The record is from RefSeq and is a predicted model, not a curated record.
AGGACACAGGGUGAAGCUGGCCAUGUAUGGACCAGGAAGUAGGAACUCACCAGACAGUAAAUCGGCUGGCACCUUGAUCUUGGACUUCCCAGCCUCCAGAACUGUCUUGGUCCGACACCAAAACUUGAAAAGAACCCUCUGGCUUCAGAAUUUGAUUCCUGAAGUUGCCAAUAGCCAUUCCUGGUUCUGAUCAUGGUAAUCACCUCCCAUUGAACUUGGCUGUCCGGUGACUCACUCACAACCCACAGAAUGAGCCAGAACUGACCCCAAAGGACUUUGAAAGUCAAAUUAGAAAAAGCCUU